GUCCAGAUGGCUGAGCGGUCUAAGGCACUGUGUUCAGGUCGCAGUCUCCUCUGGAGGCGUGGGUUCGAAUCCCACUUCUGACA
This 83-nucleotide transfer RNA is filed under the name Xenopus laevis (African clawed frog). It matches the Rfam family "tRNA". Rfam says of the family: Transfer RNA (tRNA) molecules are approximately 80 nucleotides in length. Their secondary structure includes four short double-helical elements and three loops (D, anti-codon, and T loops). Further hydrogen bonds mediate the characteristic L-shaped molecular structure. tRNAs have two regions of fundamental functional importance: the anti-codon, which is responsible for specific mRNA codon recognition, and the 3' end, to which the tRNAs corresponding amino acid is attached (by aminoacyl-tRNA synthetases). tRNAs cope with the degeneracy of the genetic code in two manners: having more than one tRNA (with a specific anti-codon) for a particular amino acid; and 'wobble' base-pairing, i.e. permitting non-standard base-pairing at the 3rd anti-codon position. Lineage: Eukaryota; Metazoa; Chordata; Amphibia; Anura; Pipidae. The record is from Rfam by way of RNAcentral.